GCAGAAUUCAUAAUCUGGUGUUUGUCGACAAAUCUUAUGGAUUAAUGCUUGAGUAGGAUCAUCGCCUAAGGUGGGUUGAAUGACGGAGAAGAUGAUGAACCAUGCAGAAAAGAUCAAGAGCCAAUGAAUGAAAUCCAUGGAAAAAAUUUCAAUGAACUUGAGAUCGAGAGAGAAAAACUGAGAUUACCCCCGUAUUGUAAUGUCUAUGGUUCAAUUAAACAAAGUAAGCCAUCUUGGUAUUUAAACAAAAAAAAGAGUCCUUUUUUCAGUACGUACAUGCUAGAUUAUCUUGUUAUCUGUUAUCUGAUUAUCAAAAUUUGUUUGAAUUUUGUUAUUCAGAUUGCUAUAACUUGAGGGGAUUUUUUAUUUUUCAUAAUGAAGAUGGC
This 386-nucleotide long non-coding RNA is filed under the name Olea europaea subsp. europaea. Lineage: Eukaryota; Viridiplantae; Streptophyta; Magnoliopsida; Lamiales; Oleaceae. The record is from RNAcentral.